CCCCCCCCCCCCCCUCCUCAAAUUCCCCAUCUUUUUUUGCUACUUUCCUCUCUCUCGCUCUCCAAAUCGCUCUCCCUCUUGUAUUCACAGAGUCAUUGACAAGACAUUCAAAGCUUUUUCAAAUUGGCCAGCCUCAUUGUGGCUGUUCUAAAGUGGAGGGGGGGCUCGGCUGGAGCGAGCGGGAGUGUAAAGAGGAGUGGGCCUAAAUAUACUCCGGUCUGAACGUAGUUAGAUCAUGUUCUUUUCAUGGUCCGAUUAGAAUCAAAUCGAUCCCCCCCCCCCCUGACACUCAGAGGUCUGAAGAGGAGCAGCCGGACAAAGAUUCCUCGGUGGAGACGGAUGAAUGAACCCAACCUGCUGAAUGCUAAACACAACCUUUAAGUGAGAGAUGGAGACAGAUAUGGUUCCUCAUCUAUGGAUCAUGAACCAGGCUGAGGACCCGUCAGAAGGUACUGCUGGUUCCUCAUCUAUGGAUCAGAAACCAGCCUGAGGACCCGUCAGAAGGUACUGCUGGUUCCUCAUCAAUGGAUCAUGAACCAGCCUGAGGACCCGUCAGAAGGUACUGCUGGUUCCUCAUCUAUGGAUCAUGAACCAGGCUGAGGACCCGUCAGAAGGUACUGCUGGUUCCUCAUCUAUGGAUCAUGAACCAGGCUGAGGACCCGUCAGAAGGUACUGCUGGUUCCUCAUCUAUGGAUCAUGAACCAGCCUGAGGACGCGUCAGAAGGUACUGCUGGUUCCUCAUCUAUGGAUCAGAAACCAGCCUGAGGACCUGUCAGAAGGUACUGCUGGUUCCUCAUCGAAUGGAUCAUGAACCAGCCUGAGGACCCGUCAGAAGGUACUGCUGGUUCCUCAUCAAUGGAUCAUGAACCAGCCUGAGGACCCGUCAGAAGGUACUGCUGGUUCCUCAUCUAUGGAUCAGAAACCAGCCUGAGGACCCGUCAGAAGGUACUGCUGGUUCCUCAUCAAUGGAUCAUGAACCAGCCUGAGGACCCGUCAGAAGGUACUGCUGGUUCCUCAUCUAUGGAUCAUGAACCAGCCUGAGGACGCGUCAGAAGGUACUGC
Gasterosteus aculeatus aculeatus (three-spined stickleback) is the source of this 1062-nucleotide long non-coding RNA. The record is from Ensembl. NCBI's taxonomy places the organism in Eukaryota, Metazoa, Chordata, Actinopteri, Perciformes, Gasterosteidae.